AGGCUUCUUCUCCCUUGAUGGAACAAUGAAUUAGGGUUGAGAGGCUCUCUCCUCCAGGGGCCAGGGGGUCUGGUUUUAUAGUCCCUUCAAGUGAAUAUGGGCCCUUGGAUCAAACCGACAUAGAUUGUAUGGUUUAGAUUCAUCCUUUAGGUCGGUGGAGAUCUCCCGCAAAGCAGAGUCCUGAUUGGACUCAGGAGGUGGGCGGCCGCCCUGACCAACUGGGCGGCCGCCCAGGGUCUGGCCCCGUUUCGCCUCCGCUUCGGUCUCGUGGCUUCUGGAGUCUUCUAGAUGUAAGAUAAUUGCGCAGCACAUUAAUAUCUUUACGUAAUCCCGACAUGUGGGUCUUUCUUCCGUAUUUCCUGAUAACCCCCUACAGAAAUAGACAAACACCAAAACUCAUGGAAUUCUAUCAGAUAAAACCCUAAGUCUAGAUCUUAAUUUCAUUUGGAUCCUUUUCUUUAUUUAUUUGAUAAUUAAAUUUGAUACUUAAGGACCAUCAACAAACUCCCCCAAGCUUACCUCUUGCUCGUCCCUGAGCAAGGAUAGACUCAGCUAUGGAUCAUAAGUUGUUGCAAUAUUUUUAAAAAAUAGACGGUACACAUGCUUUUAAAUAAGAUCUCAUCUCUGAGUUAGAGUAAACUAUCAAGACUUAAAACUUACUUACUUUACUUCCACCAUGGGACUUGUAACUGUCACUUCUGUCUUGAGUGGUUAAAAGAUAGAACAGUCUAGCCAAGUGCCAUGUCUCUUAUUCUUGAUCAGCUAUAGCUCUGGGGUUUUUGCAGAUUUUCAAAUAAAACUCAGAGAUUCCUUGUAUGAUUCUCUCAUAUCUCUCUUUUGUGGUAUUUUUGGAUCCUUACCAAGGCAUUGAUGGUAUAUGCCUUCUCUCAAGAUAUGUAGUAUUUGUGGUAUAAGGCAUAGUGACAUUGCCUUCUCUCUCACCCUACUCUAAUAAGGCUUUAAUAUUUGGAGCUCAUAGGUGGGAGAUAAAGUAUACAUACUCACAAGACAUUUAUUGCAUAGUCAAACCAUGGAUCCAAAGAAACAAAUCAAUAAGCCAAAUCAAGAUGUGCAUGUGUGGCGAAUGAAUGGUGUAUGGUGAUGAUGGUGAUAACAAUGGUGAAAACAAUGGUGGUGGAAGUCUAAUUCUACUUUGCUCUUUUGAGGGGAUACAUACCUUCCUUGCUUUUGAAACUUUAUGAGGAGAAUGAGAUGCUCUUCUUUUUCUUGUCUCUCAGGUGGGUAUCUUGCACCCCUAAUUCUACUGUUGGACACUUGUCCAUUUUUACCUCUCGUCUCACUCUUUCUUUUCUUUCGAGGUUCCGAGCACUUGCUCCUUUUUAUUUCCUCGUAUUAUUUUUUUUAUUUUCUUCUUUUUUUUAGAGCACUCAUCUCUUGAGAUAAUAUAGCAAGUGGUAGUAACAAGAUAACUUGAGCAUUUAUUUCACAAGGGGAAACAAAAAUAUUUUUGGUUAUUCUCUCCCGGAUUAGGAGCAGAAUAUUUUUGGGUGAUUCUGGAGAUGGAAAUGGAUGGAUAUAUGUGGAUGGUACUUCUGGAGUAGAAGUAGCAUAUAUGAGUGAACGUGCAAGUGAAAUCUUGAUUUAACCACAUGACAAGCUCCUAAGGGUCUACACAGCUUGACCACACUCAAUGCUCAUAAGCAGUAAAUAAUAAAUGUGUGGCUCAAAGUCUAGCAAGCAUGUAUAUAUGGCUGUGGUAGGAAAUUAAGCUCUCAUCAUACAGGAACUCAUCAUGCAAUAUUUUAAAGAUUUUCAAAGAUAAAAUUCUCCAGAAUUCUAGCAUCUCUAGGAACAGAUAAACAGCAGCUCAACCUUCCCAUAUCGUAUCCGUUAACAACUUAGACUUUAGAUCAAGUUUUCAUCCCACAAGUUUAGGUCUAGGGCAAGCUUUAAAUUAUAACAGUUAUAUCUAAACUUGAGAGAGAACUUAGAAUGUGCAAAUUAGGCAGAGCAACUAUUCAUCAUAUCCAUGCUUAAGUUUUUGUUUAGAUACAGAUUAGCAUAGCCACUUUAUUUAUUUGUUAAACACACUAAGCAAAAGACAUAUAUAAGCAUAAAAUAUUUAUUUGGUUUUCCCAUAGUUUAUGUGUAUUUUAAUAUUCUAAAAUAAUAUAAGUAUAAAGAUAGAUAGAUAUACUUAUCGGGAUAAAUGGGAGUGCUCUCCCCCAAGCUGAAUUUUGACGUAAUUUCUCUUGAUGUAGCUAGCAGGUGGUAGAGGUGUAUUUGAAAGUCAGCAGCAUUCUGACAGUGAUUAGAUUGUCCUCCGUCUGUGAGUCUUCUUGAUUCUUAAAUUCUGUGGAGCUCAAAUAGACAACAUAGCUUGUGGAACUGAUUAAGUGUUAGCAUAAAUAUCUUGCCUUUAUCAUGUUGAGACUCCUUAAUAAUUGUUACUCCCUGUUUUUAUAUUUUUAUUUUUAUAAAGCAGAAAAAAUAUUUAUUUUUGUUUUUAUGCCACCACAGUGAAUGUACUUAUGGGUUUUAUGCCACUCGUAUACUCACAUGGGGCUUACUGUUUUUCAUAUAUAUUUUUUAUUUUCUUUUUAGAAUAGCACGAACAUGAUUAACUAAGUAAACUAGUUGGAAUAAUUUGAAAGUGAAAAGAUAACUACCAAGUUUACCUCUUGGCAAGGCGUUCGGUGUUUUUAAGUCCUCCGAACGGGACUCUCCAUUUUCUUAAUUAUCCUGAGGUUCGUUGGGUGGCGAAGCCGGUACUUCCGGUAGCGCCUCCUCUUCAUGUAUAGUUAUCUUCAUUUUCCAUACCUGACUCGGUGCUUCAAUCUCCUCUGGAUAAUUCUGUUUAAACUCUACGUCUUCUGACCUUACAACUUCUCCUUCAUAGUCUGCCCAUCCGUCCUUGAUGAUCUGCCUCCUCUAGUUGCGGUUGCGUCUCUUUCUGACCUGCUUAGAUUCUUCAAUGAUAUAGUUAGGGUCAGUAAAAUAACGGCGUACCUUCUCUGAGGGGAAGUGCAUAUGGACUUCUCCGGUUCCAAUGUAGAUAAUUGCUUUAACGGUGCUGAGGAGGGGUCUUCCAAGGAUGAUGGGUGGAUCGUACUCGUCUUCUCCCAUGUCAAUAACUUGAAAGUCUGUGUAGACAAAGUGGUCGUCUAUUUUGACUGGGACAUCAGAUACUAUUCCUUGAACUUCUCGAAAUGUCUGAUCUGCCAUCUGCAGCUGAAUGUAUGUUGGUCUUAGUGGCAUGGUCCCGAACAAGAGCCGAUAAGUGACUGCGGCCAUUAUGUUGACGCCCGAUCCGGUGUCGCAAAUCGUCUUGUAGAAGUUAUAUCCAUUUAUGGAGCAGUAGAUGCUUGGCAUUCCUGGGUCGUCCUUCUUGGUCAAAAACGGUGACUUAAGUUGGUGAUCUUGGCCUCCAUGGACUACAGUGACCAUCUUAGCUGACUCGGUCCACACUUGCUUGUUCCUGUUCCUCCUGUUGGUCCUCUUCCCUGAUUCACGUCUGGAUUGAUCUGGAAUUUGUGUAGUCUUGUUCUUGAAGAAAAAUGUCUCCUUCUUCCCUUUGACGUAGAAACUGAUCUUGGCAGCACUGGCGUAGAUGAUAGCUCCGGUGGUGUUCAAAAAUGGCCUUCCUAGGAUGAUAGGUGCUCUCUCAUCAUUUUCGGUCUCAACCACUACAAAGUCUGCUGGGGUAUAUAAAGUACCAACUCGGACACAAAGGUUCCUCACUAUUCCUUUUGGAAAAGUUAUCGUCUGAUCUGCAAACUGCAAACACAUGGUUGUUUCUAAUAAAGGAUAUGUAAAGAAUUUCUCAUAGAGUACCCUGGGUAUAAUGUUGACGCUAGAGCCAAAGUCACAGAGUGCUUCUGGAACGUCCACCAUGCCGAUGGAGAUCGGGAUGACGGGGCAUCCUGGAUCGUCUCUCUUGACCGGCAGACGGUCAGUAGAGAAUUCAGUGAUGGGGUUACUCCAAUUACCUGCAUCGAACAUGUCUACAAGAUUUGCAGUUUCUAAUCCUUCCGGUUGUGAUGGUAUACCGGGGUUAGUAGUAGGAACAGCAGCAGCUAUUUGAUUUAACUGGGAUUCAAUCAUUUUAUUAAAGCUAAUUUGAUUCUUGAUGACAGUAGAGAAAUUAUCCAUUCUAUUAUUUAUAUUUUCUAGCAUUUUAUCAUUAGACGCCAAUUUCUUAGAUAGAUUAUCCAUUAGCUUUCCUUGAUUAGACACUAACUCUCUCAAAGGUGGAAAAUUAUUAUUAUUGUUGUAAGAAUUGUUACCUUGAUAAUUACCUGAGUAGUUAGGCCUCUGUUGAUUCCAACCUUGAUUUCGUUGAGGACGGUUGUAGUUGUUGUUGUUGUUGAUGAUGUAGUUCACAUCCUCAAGCAUCUCCGGGCAGUGGUUGCCUGAGUGUCCAGUGUCUCCACACUCCUCACAAGUCAUGUGAGAGUCGUAGAUGUGCAUAACUUCUUUCUUGUCUCCAGCUCUAUCGUCGAGCUUCUUCAUGAGCAGGUCUAGCUUUGCAGACAGCAUGUCUACCUCCUUCAGCUGAUGCAUACCCCCACCUCUCUUGCGUGUCUGGGUCCUCUCUUCAUUCCAGCUUUGGUUGGAUGCCAUCUUCUCCACAAGAGCUGUGGCUUGUGGUAUAGUAAGUGAUAAGAAUGCUCCUCCAGCUGCAGCAUCCAUGGUCUAUCGGGCACUGUUGCUGAGCCCAUGAUAGAAUGUCUGCAUCAGUAGCCAACUCUCCAUUCCAUGAUGGGGACAUUCUAGGAUGUAGUCUUGAAAGCGCUCCCAUGCUUCUGGAACAGAUUCAUCAUUUUGUUGCUGAAAACUUGUAAUCUUCCCACGGAGAGCAUUGGUCUUGCCCAUGGGAAAGAACUUAGCCAGGAAGUUUGUUGAGCAGAGUGCCCACGUAGUAUUCUUCUCCUUUGUAGCGUCGAACCACUGCUUCGCUCUUCCUAACAGUGAGAAUGGGAAGAGGCGAAGUAGUAUAGCGUCUUUAGAAACUCCUGCUAUGGUGAAUGUGUUGCAAAUCUCUAGGAAGUGUUGUAAAUGAGCACUAGCGUCUUCGUGUGCCUUCCCACAGAACUGGUUGGAUUGCACCAUGUUGAUAAGUCCAGGCUUGAGCUCAAAGUUGCCAUCGAUCUCUGCAGCAGGUCCAGUGUGGAUGUUGUCCGUAUUGGGAGCUGAGAACUCGCGGAUUGAUUUGUUCGCCAUGGCCUCGAACUCUGAAUACAAGUUCCGGUGAUCUUCUUGAUUGGAUGAAGCUUCUUCGUGAAGUGUUGAUGAUUUCUUUAGCUUGGCUCUCGUCUUCUUGAAUAAUGCUAUAGGAUUGUCAACAAAAUUUCUUGGAAGAUGUCUUCUAUUCAUACAUUCCCCUGCAUAAGAUAAAAUAGAAAAAAAUAUCGGGGUAAAACUGUAUGAGAGAAUAGAUAAGCUCAAUCAUAUUAGUGAUGCGAAUGAUAACUCAAAAUCUUUUUAUUCCAUUCUUGAUUAGUAAUCAACCUUCCCCGGCAACAGCGCCAAAAAUGCUUGUUGGGCAUUCUUAACAUCUUUACUAAAAGUAGACUAAGUUCUAAAUCUAGCAACGGUGCCAAAAAUGCCAAACCUAUCCCUCACACCACUUAAGCCAAGUUGUCAUCCCCAGCAUGAUAUAAGAGACGCGGUAUUGAAAUAUGCAAUUGCUCUUCUAAAUAAAUAAUGAAUUGGAUCUGCAAGCGCACAGAUUAAUACCGAUGUAGCAUUUUAACCGGGAAGUAUUCCAGGUAACGUUAUUUAUAUUUUUACCACUGGGAAGGGAUUAGCAAUCAUCACUAAUCAUUACAGAAUAGAAUAUGAGAUUGAGCAUCUAUCAUUGCAUGUAUAAUUGAGAACAUUAUAUCUAACUCUUCAUACAGGGAUAAGUGUCACAUAAAAGAUAUAUGAAAUAAUAAUAGUGACAAGGAUAACUAAUCUGAUCUAGCCACAUAAUAAUUAUGAUAAGCACCUCAAUUAGAUACUCUAGAAAGUCAUUAGCAUGGUAUUAGAACGAACUACAAGAAUAUUCCCUAAGUUAUUCUCAACUAUAUAGUCUAGCAUAUCAUAGUUAGUGCAAGCAUACUUAGCAAUCAUUGCGAGACAAGACUACACCCAUGCAUAGUGAUAUUAGCAAGGAAUAUGAGAAACAUAGCAAUCACUCCCCUGUAAUAAUGUUGCUCUGCCAGCCCAAUACACGAGAGGGGGACUAUAUAAGAAUCAAUGAAGCUGUCACUAUCACGAACCACCCCACGAUCUGGCAUAUUGGAUACAAUCGCAGAUAAAUACGGUAUAAGCACCACGCCUACACAAUAUCUAUCAUUUACCCAUGGAUCCGAUGGAUAAACGCUAUACGAUCCUAAGCAUGUAUAUAGAUCCAAUCUAACUAAGCCAAGUACAUAACUAUGAUAAACUAAGAACAAUAUAAUCUUGAAUAUAAGCAAGUAGAGCAAAGUCAUAAGCAAUAUAUUGAAGUAGAACAAAGUCAUAUUCAUAAUAUUGAAGAGCAAAGAUAAUUAGAAAGCAAUUAGAAGCACAAUUAGAGAAUUACCAAGAAUCCUCCUAACAGAUCCGGAAACCAAUCGAAGAUUGACUCCUUCUAGUUCUAAUCCUAAGUAGCUAUGCUAAUCUAGAUAUCUAAUUGAUGUGGUGGCUCUAAUCUUGAUCAGAGGCUUCUUCUCCCUUGAUGGAACAAUGAAUUAGGGUUGAGAGGCUCUCUCCUCCAGGGGCCAGGGGGUCUGGUUUUAUAGUCCCUUCAAGUAAAUAUGGGCCCUUGGAUCAAACCGACAUAGAUUGUAUGGUUUAGAUUCAUCCUUUAGGUCGGUGGAGAUCUCCCGCAAAGCAGAGUCCUGAUUGGACUCAGGAGGUGGGCGGGCGCCCUGACCAACUGGGCGGCCGCCCAGGGUCUGGCCCCGUUUCGCCUCCACUUCGGUCUCGUGGCUUCUGGAGUCUUCUAGAUGUAAGAUAAUUGCGCAGCACAUUAAUAUCUUUACGUAAUCCCGACAUGUGGGCCUUUCUUCCGUAUUUCCUGAUAACCCCCUACAGAAAUAGACAAACACCAAAACUCGUGGAAUUCUAUCAGAUAAAACCCUAAGUCUAGAUCUUAAUUUCAUUUGGAUCCUUUUCUUUAUUUAUUUGAUAAUUAAAUUUGACACUUAAGGACCAUCAACAAACUCCCCCAAGCUUACCUCUUGCUCGUCCCUGAGCAAGGAUAGACUCAGCUAUGGAUCAUAAGUUGUUGCAAUAUUUUUAAAAAAUAGACGGUACAUAUGCUUUUAAAUAAGAUCUCAUCUCUGAGUUAGAGUAAACUAUCAAGACUUAAAACUUACUUACUUUACCUCCACCAUGGGACUUGUAACUGUCACUUCUGUCUUGAGUGGUUAAAAGAUAGAACAGUCUAGCCAAGUGCCAUGUCUCUUAUUCUUGAUCAGCUAUAGCUCUGGGGUUUUUGCAGAUUUUCAAAUAAAACUCAGAGAUUCCUUGUAUGAUUCUCUCAUAUCUCUCUUUUGUGGUAUUUUUGGAUCCUUACCAAGGCAUUGAUGGUAUAUGCCUUCUCUCAAGAUAUGUAGUAUUUGUGGUAUAAGGCAUAGUGACAUUGCCUUCUCUCUCACCCUACUCUAAUAAGGCUUUAAUAUUUGGAGCUCAUAGGUGGGAGAUAAAGUAUACAUACUCACAAGACAUUUAUUGCAUAGUCAAACCAUGGAUCCAAAGAAACAAAUCAAUAAGCCAAAUCAAGAUGUGCAUGUGUGGCGAAUGAAUGGUGUAUGGUGAUGAUGGUGAUAACAAUGGUGAAAACAAUGGUGGUGGAAGUCUAAUUCUACUUUGCUCUUUUGAGGGGAUACAUACCUUCCUUGCUUUUGAAACUUUAUGAGGAGAAUGAGAUGCUCUUCUUUUUCUUGUCUCUCAGGUGGGUAUCUUGCACCCCUAAUUCUACUGUCGGACACUUGUCCAUUUUUACCUCUCGUCUCACUCUUUCUUUUCUUUCGAGGUUCCGAGCACUUGCUCCUUUUUAUUUCCUCGUAUUAUUUUUUUUAUUUUCUUCUUUUUUUUAGAGCACUCGUCUCUUGAGAUAAUAUAGAAAGUGGUAGUAACAAGAUAACUUGAGCAUUUAUUUCACAAGGGGAAACAAAAAUAUUUUUGGUUAUUCUCUCCCGGAUUAGGAGCAGAAUAUUUUUGGGUGAUUCUGGAGAUGGAAAUGGAUGGAUAUAUGUGGAUGGUACUUCUGGAGUAGAAGUAGCAUAUAUGAGUGAACGUGCAAGUGAAAUCUUGAUUUAACCACAUGACAAGCUCCUAAGGGUCUACACAGCUUGACCACACUCAAUGCUCAUAAGCAGUAAAUAAUAAAUGUGUGGCUCAAAGUCUAGCAAGCAUGUAUAUAUGGCUGUGGUAGGAAUUUAAGCUCUCAUCAUACAGGAACUCAACAUGCAACAUUUUAAAGAUUUUUAAAGAUAAAAUUCUCCAGAAUUCUAGCAUCUCUAGGAACAGAUAAACAGCAGCUCAACCUUCCCAUAUCGUAUCCGUUAACAACUUAGACUUCAGAUCAAGUUUUCAUCCCACAAGUUUAGGUCUAGGGCAAGCUUUAAAUUAUAACAGUUAUAUCUAAACUUGAGAGAGAACUUAGAAUGUGCAAAUUAGGCAGAGCAACUAUUCAUCAUAUCCAUGCUUAAGUUUUUGUUUAGAUACAGAUUAGCAUAGCCACUUUAUUUAUUUGUUAAACACACUAAAAAAAAGACAUAUAUAAGCAUAAAAUCUUUAUUUGGUUUUCCCAUAGUUUAUGUGUAUUUUAAUAUUCUAAAAUAAUAUAAGUAUAAAGAUAGAUAGAUAGAUAGAUAUACUUAUCGGGAUAAAUGGGGGUGCUCUCCCCCAAGCUGAAUUUUGACGUAAUUUCUCUUGAUGUAGCUAGCAGGUGGCAGAGGUGUAUUUGAAAGUCAGCAGCAUUCUGACAGCGAUUAGAAUGUCCUCCGUCUGCGAGUCUUCUUGAUUCUUAAAUUCUGUGGAGCUCAAAUAGACAACAUAGCUUGUGGAACUGAUUAAGUGUUAGCAUAAAUAUCUAGCCUUUAUCAUGUUGAGACUCCUUAAUAAUUGUUACUCCCUGUUUUUAUAUUUUUGUUUUUAUAAAGCAGAAAAAAUAUUUAUUUUUGUUUUUAUGCCACCACAGUGAAUGUACUUAUGGGUUUUAUGCCACUCGUAUACUCACAUGGGGCUUACUGUUUUUCAUAUAUUUUUUUUUAUUUUCUUUUUAGAAUAGCACGAACAUGAUUAACUAAGUAAACUAGUUGGAAUAAUUUGAAAGGAAAAAGAUAACUACCAAGUUUACCUCUUGGCAAGGCGUUCGGUGUUUUUAAGUCCUCCGAACGGGACUCUCCAUUUUUUUAAUUGUCCUGAGGUUCGUUGGGUGGCGAAGCCGGUACUUCCGGUAGCGCCUCCUCUUCAUGUAUAGUUAUCAUCAUUUUCCAUACCUGACUCGAUGCUUCAAUCUCCUCUGGAUAAUUCUGUUUAAACUCUACGUCUUCUGACCUUACAACUUCUCCUUCAUAGUCUGCCCAUCCGUCCUUGAUGAUCUGCCUCCUCUGGUUGCGGUUGCGUCUCUUUCUGACCUGCUUAGAUUCUUCAAUGAUAUAGUUAGGGUCAGUAAAAUAACGGCGUACCUUCUCUGAGGGGAAGUGCAUAUGGACUUCUCCGGUUCCAAUGUAGAUAAUUGCUUUAACGGUGCUGAGGAGGGGUCUUCCAAGGAUGAUGGGUGGAUCGUACUCGUCUUCUCCCAUGUCAAUAACUUGAAAGUCUGUGUAGACAAAGUGAUCGUCUAUUUUGACUGGGACAUCAGAUACUAUUCCUUGAACUUCUCGAAAUGUCUGAUCUACCAUCUGGAGCUGAAUGUAUGUUGGUCUUAGUGGCAUGGUCCUGAACAAGAGCCGAUAAAUGACUGCGGCCAUUAUGUUGACGCCCGAUCCGGUGUCGCAAAUCGUCUUGUAGAAGUUAUAUCCAUUUAUGGAGCAGUAGAUGCUUGGCAUUCCUGGGUCGUCCUUCUUGGUCAAAAACGGUGACUUAAGUUGGUGAUCUUGGCCUCCAUGGACUACAGUGACCAUCUUAGCUGACUCGGUCCACACUUGCUUGUUCCUGUUCCUCCUGUUGGUCCUCUUCCCUGAUUCACGUCCGGAUUGACCUGGAAUUUGUGUAGUCUUGUUCAUGAAGAAAAAUGUCUCCUUCUUCCCUUUGACGUAGAAACUGAUCUUGGCAGCACUGGCGUAGAUGAUAGCUCCCGUGGUGUUCAAAAAUGGCCUUCCUAGGAUGAUAGGUGCUCUCUCAUCAUUUUCGGUCUCAACCACUACAAAGUCUGCUGGGGUAUAUAAAGUACCAACUUGGACACAAAGGUUCCUCACUAUUCCUUUUGGAAAAGUUAUCGUCUGAUCUACAAACUGCAAACACAUGGUUGUUUCUAAUAAAGGAUAUGUAAAGAAUUUCUCAUAGAGUACCCUGGGUAUAAUGUUGACGCUAGAGCCAAAGUCACAGAGUGCUUCUGGAACGUCCACCAUGCCGAUGGAGAUCGGGAUGACGGGGCGUCCUGGAUCGCCUCUCUUGACUGGCAGAC
This 10570-nucleotide long non-coding RNA is filed under the name Sorghum bicolor (sorghum). Its description in RNAcentral is "long non-coding RNA (SBIC_LNC017568)". The stretch from base 4715 to 4821 matches the Rfam family "Plant small nucleolar RNA R71". Lineage: Eukaryota; Viridiplantae; Streptophyta; Magnoliopsida; Poales; Poaceae. The record is from RNAcentral.